Molecule: ribosomal RNA, 327 nt
Filed under: uncultured bacterium
Lineage: Bacteria
Description: bacterial SSU rRNA
Rfam family: Bacterial small subunit ribosomal RNA
Source: RNAcentral
GAUGAACGCUGGCGGCGUGCUUAACACAUGCAAGUCGAGCGAAGCGCUUUUGCGGAUUUCUUCGGAUUGAAGCAACUGUGACUGAGCGGGCGACGGGUGAAGGUACGCGUAGGUAACCUGCCUCAUACAGGGGGAUAACAGUUGGAAACGGCUGCUAAUACCGCAUAAGCCCACAGCUCGGCAUCGAGCAGAGGGAAAAGGAGUGAUCCGCUUUGAGAUGGCCUCGCGUCCGAUUAGCUGGUUGGUGAGGUAACGGCCCACCAAGGCGACGAUCGGUAGCCGGACUGAGAGGUUGAACGGCCACAUUGGGACUGAGACACGGCCCAG